UUUCUGAAAGAAUCAAAGUAAUGCCAAGAACUUCCAGAUGAAGAGGACCUUCUUAGACCUAUAACUGGGAUUAGCCAAUUCUUGAACUGCAGGAGGGAGCUUCAACUAAUUCUCAGGAUAAAAGUCAAAACAAGCCUGUGACUUCUCUUGAAUACUGAAGGUGUAAACAGGCCUCUGGCUUCCCCAGGUCAAGCCCAGGAGCACUUGUUAUUAGAAGGAAGAGUUACUUCUUUGUUAUUCAAACGUACACCCACGCGCAUCCUCUUCACCCUCCCUAAGGAAAAGCCUGAACAGAUGGAGAGCCAGGGCUCCUUGGCCUGCUGGCUGAGAAGAUGCCCUUCACUGAGGCCAGCUAGCUGUGCAGACUGGGGAAGAAUGGAGAAGUGGCUAGUAUAGGUAAUCAGUAUCUUUUAAUACUUCUUACAGAUAGAAAUUUGAUAACUCUUGUUCAGCAAAUAGCAGCCUGUGGGGCCUGGGAAACCAAUUUGGCUGAUGUGUUUCUGAUAGGGACUGGGCUUGAGGCUGGGUACUUGCUCUGUAUUACCUUCCCCUCUCUCACGUAAAAGCCUGUACAAAGAAAUGGUGCAAAUGGAUGGUUCACUUAAUGAUUCCAUUGGAGGUAGAUAUUUCCCUGUCAGGUUCUGGCAUGGGGCUGAAGUUUGAAAACCAGAAGGCAGAAUAUGUAGUUAAUUGCCCUCUCUUACCUCCUUACCAGUAGCAGGACUACUCUUCGAGGCCUCUUCCUCCAUAGCUUCUGCAACCUCUGGUUAGCUCCAUCCAAGCACUCCACUUUGGGCUGGGUGCUGAGUGUUUCCUGGUUGUAAGGAAAAGCUCUCCUUCUGCUUCAUUCAUUCCUCACCCCAACUCCUGCUGUGCAGCAGGCCAUUCCACCCUGCCUCAAUUCAUAUCGGCUGUACAGAACCACCAGGAAUGCCAGGUGAAUGGCCAUCCCUGAUCUAUGGGCCCAGGCUUACAGCUGUGACCUUGUUCUUGAGAUCUCAGGAGACUGCAUAACACCCACGCACAUCCCAAAGGAGGCAACCAAGGUAGAUCUCCAAAGACCAAAGCCCCAGCGAGCAAGGGAGGGCCGGCCACUUCCCACCUCCAGCCGCCCUCUGUGUUGCCUGCUAAGGCCUCCUCCAGGGCCGCCUCUGCUGCAGAACCCGCGGGGAAGCAGCGCACACAAUGGCGUGCCUGCCUUGGGGCUUCUGGCUGCUCUGGGCACCCUCAGCGCAGUGUGGGGUAGGGAGGCCUCAAGCAAGUUUGAGGCCUUGGUGGGCCCUCCUUUGCCCCCAGAGCACUCGUCUUGGACAGAAGCAGGAACUAGGGAGGAGGUUUGCCUCCCGUGCCGACUUCUCCUGCAGGUAUGGCUGCAGGGCCUCCCCGAGAAGAGAGGCCAAGGCCCAGGGCGCCAUUGGCGGCCGGCUCCCCUCCCCCACGCUUCUUUCUCUGCUGCUGCGAGACCGGGGAGGGAGGAGGCAGGCGCCUGUGCAGAUAGAGCCGCUAUUGUGACCUUCCCUCGCAGAGCAGGAACCCAGCCGAGUGUGUACCGCCGGCGGUGGCUGUGGCGGGGGAGGAGGCGACUGUGUGCAAACCUUGGCGGGGAGGGGUUGGCACUGGGAAAUAAAGGUUUGCAACCUCGG
Molecule: long non-coding RNA, 1643 nt
Organism: Chinchilla lanigera (long-tailed chinchilla)
Lineage: Eukaryota; Metazoa; Chordata; Mammalia; Rodentia; Chinchillidae
Exons: 2
Source: RefSeq, a predicted model, not a curated record